This 443-nucleotide ribosomal RNA is filed under the name uncultured bacterium. RNAcentral's name for it is "partial 16S ribosomal RNA". It matches the Rfam family "Bacterial small subunit ribosomal RNA", at positions 338 to 795 of the family's 1533-position model. The record is from RNAcentral.
CCUACGGGAGGCAGCAGUGGGGAAUAUUGGGCAAUGGGCGCAAGCCUGACCCAGCAACGCCGCGUGAAGGAAGAAGGCUUUCGGGUUGUAAACUUCUUUUCUGAGGGACGAAGAAAGUGACGGUACCUCAGGAAUAAGCCACGGCUAACUACGUGCCAGCAGCCGCGGUACGACGUAGGUGGCAAGCGUUAUCCGGAUUUAUUGGGUGUAAAGGGCGAGUAGGCGGGAAAGCAAGGCAGUGGUGAAAACUCAGGGCUCAACCCUGAGCCUGCAUUUGAAACUGUUUUUCUUGAGUGCUGGGGAGGCAAUCGGAAUUCCGUGUGUAGCGGUGAAAUGCGUAGAUAUACGGAGGAACACCAGUGGCGAAGGCGGAUUGCUGGACAGUAACUGACGCUGAGGCGCGAAAGCGUGGGGAGCAAACAGGAUUAGAUACCCCGGUAGUC